GCUGGGGUUGUGGCCCAGUGGUAGAGUGCUCACCUAGCAUGGGUAAGGCACUGGGUUUGAUCCUCAGCACAGCA
This 74-nucleotide transfer RNA is filed under the name Marmota monax (woodchuck). RNAcentral describes it as "tRNA.Ala". Lineage: Eukaryota; Metazoa; Chordata; Mammalia; Rodentia; Sciuridae. The record is from RNAcentral.